GGAGGUGGUGGAGUCGCCGUCCCUGGCAGCGUUCAAGAGGCGUCUGGAUGAGGAGCUGCGAGAUAUGGUUUAGUUUGUGGCAGCAGUGGUAAUGAGAAAACGGUUGGACUAGAUGAUCUUAUAGGUCAUUUCCAACCUUGUGAUUCUAUGAUUCUACUUUCACGUAAGCAAAAUGAUGUAAUAAUAGACUUUUCACUUGGAAAAAGCGUUAUUUGUUCUCCUCUAGUCAGAGCCAUAGAAAAUCAGGCACUGCUGUCUGACCAUGGCAGAAAGCAUAUCUUUUUUCCCAGGUUUUCUGAAUAUGACUUCAGAUAGAAAAUGAAAUGGGAAUAGGGUGAGUGCGUUGCAAGUGCUUGACAUUACUUUAUGCAAGUCCCAAGUCUUGCUCGGAGCAAGAGGCUCAAACUGCCUCCUGGGGGGGAAAGCAGUUUCUGCAUGCAUUCAGCUACCAGUAACUUCAGUUAGUACCUUGUCUGGAGUGUUCCUGCAACUAUCAUUUUUUCUCUUCUCUAGAACUGACUGCUUUCUCAAAUCUAUCUUUGCAAGCAGACUACCUUCCCAUCAAAUUGGGGAAAAUGAUACACAAAUUAAAAAAAAAAAAAAAAAGCAGCUUUCAUCUUUUUAUUGCUGUUCUAACAGCCUCUCUAAACCUCCAGUAUCUGAGGAGAAAGCAUCAUAUCUUCAGUUGGAAAAUAAGAAGCAACCUUAAUUCUUAUACAAGGCAGAUGUACAGACUUGCCUAGAAGACAGUAUCAAAAGAACUUGCUAAUUUUUAUUAUUUUCACGCAGUGGAAUGCAUUAAAUUACUUUUCAUAACUCUGAAAUUGUUAUUGUUCAUCUGUUACUGGAGAUCAGUGGGAAUAUUGUGUUUCCUGGUGCCCAACACUCGGGGUUUUCAUGGAAAGAGG
This 908-nucleotide long non-coding RNA is filed under the name Phasianus colchicus (ring-necked pheasant). Its description in RNAcentral is "lncRNA (ENSPCLG00000006685.1)". Lineage: Eukaryota; Metazoa; Chordata; Aves; Galliformes; Phasianidae. The record is from RNAcentral.